GAAUGUAAGCUCCUCAAGAGCAGGGAC
Molecule: non-coding RNA, 27 nt
Filed under: Cricetulus griseus (Chinese hamster)
Lineage: Eukaryota; Metazoa; Chordata; Mammalia; Rodentia; Cricetidae
Source: RNAcentral